AUACGUAGGGAGCGAGCGUUGUCCGGAAUUACUGGGUGUAAAGGGAGCGUAGGCGGGAGUGCAAGUUAGAUGUGAAAUACAUGGGCUCAACCCAUGGGCUGCAUUUGAAACUGCAUUUCUUGAGUGAAGUAGAGGUAAGCGGAAUUCCUGGUGUAGCGGUGAAAUGCGUAGAUAUCAGGAGGAACACCGGUGGCGAAGGCGUCUUACUGGGCUUUUACUGACGCUGAGGCUCGAAAGCGUGGGGAGCAAACAGGGUUAGAUACCCUGGUAGUCCACGCUGUAAACGAUGAUUACUAGGUGUGGGGGGACUGACCCCUUCCGUGCCGCAGUUAACACAAUAAGUAAUCCACCUGGGGAGUACGGCCGCAAGGUUGAAACUCAAAGGAAUUGACGGGG
Molecule: ribosomal RNA, 396 nt
Filed under: uncultured bacterium
Lineage: Bacteria
Description: partial 16S ribosomal RNA
Rfam family: Bacterial small subunit ribosomal RNA
Source: RNAcentral